AUACGGAGGGUGCAAGCGUUAAUCGGAAUUACUGGGCGUAAAGCGCGCGUAGGCGGCUUUGUAAGUCGGAUGUGAAAGCCCUGGGCUUAACCUGGGAAUUGCAUUCGAUACUGCAUGGCUAGAGUAUGGUAGAGGAUGGUGGAAUUCCUGGUGUAGCGGUGAAAUGCGUAGAUAUCAGGAGGAACAUCAGUGGCGAAGGCGGCUAUCUGGACCAAUACUGACGCUGAGGUGCGAAAGCGUGGGGAGCAAACAGGAUUAGAAACCCUAGUAGUCC
Molecule: ribosomal RNA, 274 nt
Filed under: uncultured bacterium
Lineage: Bacteria
Description: partial 16S ribosomal RNA
Rfam family: Bacterial small subunit ribosomal RNA
Source: RNAcentral